CCCCGAGUCGACCAGAACUUCGGAGACUCCCCCGACACGACAGACGGAUCCCCAUCGUCCGGACCACUGAGGAUCUCGCCUGUGUUGAAGAACCCCGAGGGACAUGAAGACCACCUAAUCCAUGAUAAAACUGGUAAUACUUUUCUGCAUCCUACCACAACCCCAUGGCCAGAAACCAGCUGAGUGGCCGUGGUCUGAACUAAUUGUGGUAGCAUGCAGAAAAAGUGAAAGGAUCUCUUUAAGCACAAAAAGGUGUGUACGCACCCAAGCAUACAGGAUUGUUGGCACAAUUACACAUUAACACAAACUGUAGAAGUAGUUUGGUUUUGGUCCAAAAAUACCGAAGCACUUUUUUUUGUUUUGUUUUGUUUUUGUUUUUGUUUUUGUUUUUUAAGUUUAAAGUAUUGAUUCAAAUACUGGAGUAGGACUUGAUGUUAAUGUUGUGACACCUACCACCCAACCACUGGUUACACUUAGCCCGAAAAUCUUUGGAAUUGGACCAUAUAUAAUCAGGAAAACUGGCCAACAACAGAUAUUGUUUAAUCUGUUAUGGUCUCUUAAACAAGUCAAAUUGCUGAUGCAAAACAAUAUCUCAGAAAUACAACCAGCUUGUUCACCCUUUUUGCAGACCUCUUUUCAGGGUUGGACAACCUGGCUGCGACAGUGGAACCCUCCUAAAAACCGGGUGCCAAGAGACGUAACUGGUCUUGUGGGGACAGGAUUGGGAAUCCUAAAUAGUAUUGAUUCAGAAGUAUUAAUGAAUAAAUUGGCUUCCACAACUAAAGAUUUAACCAAAAUACAACAACCACUGCAAUCAUCCUUAUCAGCCUUGGGAACACAUCAGUGGUUGCUAUCAAACAUUCUACCAAAUUGGGAAAAGAUAAAUGUAAAUAAUAGCAAAUUGAUAAUUGAUGGACUUAAUGCCACACAAAGCAACGUUUCCUUAGCUCUUAGCUGUAUCCAGGCUCAAUUAUGGAUGCAGUCAGUUGCUGCCUCAAUUAUAAGAGAAGGUGAAGAAGGCACUUUUCCUACUGAGAUUAGGAAAAUAGUCUGGGACAGUGCCACUGACUUCGAAAGAGAUUUCCAAUCCUGGUGGAAUUUAGUGAAUUUUACCUAUGACCCUAACACAAACACAGCCACAGCAUUUGUGCUGACCAUAAGAAAUGCCUCGGUGCAUUUGAUAUUCCCUAUCAUUGCACUAGGAUUAAAUCAUGAUGGACCCACUUUCUAUCCUUCUGAACAUAGAGAAUGGGCCCGUCAAAUUGAUGACAAAUGGCAAACUGUCAAUUUAGAGUCCUGUACCAUCUGAGAACAACUAGGGUUUAUCUGUGAAGCUCCAGUUACUUCACAUGAACUUUUAGAAUCCAAUCUCACGUUGAUUCACAAGCUACUGCCUACUCCCAUUGGGAUGAACCUUACUCUGGUAAAGCAAUUAUUACUUCAUCAAGAUCUAAUAGAGAUCCUAGGAAAAAUCAAGGGGAAUGGACAGAAAACUCUGGUAACUGUUCAUCAUGAUGUGCAAGAAAUACAUCGUGUUGUAGAAAGGGUGAAAAGUGAUGCUGAGCACAAGUGGUGGGAUACCCUUUUCGGGUGGUCACCCACCACCACCGGUAUCCUGAACAAAUUGUGCCAUCCCAUUGUUGUUCUUCUGGUUUUAGUUAUGAUUGGUUUUGUUUUAUCAGUAAUCUUGCUUAUUGUAAAUUGGAGAAUGAUGAAACGAUGAACAAAAUUAACAUCUAUAAUUAAUGCACACCACUUGGCCGACAUCCUUUACACUAUAGAUGUUCCCAGGACUGUAGACACAAGAAGAUUAUAAGUUUUCCUGUUUUCUCUUUCUUUCCCUUUUCCUCUUCUCUUUUCCCUGCGACGUGCUGCCAACACUUGACGAGUCCUGAAGACUCCACGACGACACCAUGGAAUCCUGCUGAUGAAGAUCUUUCGAGGGCAAUCGUCAGUCACGGGGUGGUGUAAGAGCCCGUCUGAAGCCCCUCAUUUUCCAUUCUGCCUUCCGAUUGCCACAAGAAAGAAUCCCAUCCCCCACUGUAGUUCCGGCUUAGAACAGGACACAGCACAGGUGGAACCACUGAACCGUCACGCUGGCUGUUCCGAACAAGGCCUGGUAAGAACUUGGCAAGGACUUGGCAAGGACUUGGCAAAGACCUGACGUGGACCCAGCACGGGACAGCCUGAUGCGCGGCCUGCUUCUAAUCUCCGUUCUUAAGCCAAAUGAACUUUUGGGGUGACUCCCGGGGUCCUUCAUUGAAGACCCCUCAUCUGCCUCGUUACCACUGUGACAAACAAAGAAUGAGAACCCUCCUCCCAAGGACUGAGACUGAGACCCCUGCUAUAGGGAGGAGGGGAAAUUGGUGGUCUGACCACUAAUGACAUGACCUGUUUCCCUUCAGUGAUUCAAAUGGACUUAUUCUUCAUUGGAUUCGUCUUGCUUUGGUGGUUACUGUGGACUCACCUGUUCCCUCGGGGCGAUUACAAUGGACUUUCAUUAUUACACUUGUUCCCCCCCUCUCUCCUCUGUGGACUAUAAUUGGACCCCCAAGUCGACCAGAACUUCGAAGACUCCCCCGACACGACAGAUGGAUCCCCAUCGUCCGGAGCACUGAGGAUCUCGCCUGUGUUGGUAGCUAUUCCCAUAUCCCUCUUCUCUCUCUAUCCUUUUAUCUCCUUUCAGAUCCCCACUAUCGCGUUUACUGUUUUGGCCCCUAAUAAAGGUGCAUUUGUUGUGAUUAA
Molecule: long non-coding RNA, 2745 nt
Organism: Vidua chalybeata
Lineage: Eukaryota; Metazoa; Chordata; Aves; Passeriformes; Viduidae
Exons: 4
Source: RefSeq, a predicted model, not a curated record